AGAGGGUUGGGGAAGGCAGAAAGAGUGAAAGGCUGACUUGGGUGUCCUGAGAAUGCGUUUUCAAUUUACCUAGUCAGAGUGUUCGUGGGAGUCACCCCUGGGGCCGGAGGGAACAGCAGGAUUGACAGAAAUGGGGAGAGUAGACUGACAGAAACAAGGAAACCCCAUCUUUUCUUCCCAUUCUUUUGUCAGCCACGGUUGCAAAUACUGGAGGACUGGCUGCAGAGAGAGCAUUACCUCUUGUCUGUCUGAUGCUGUCACCAGUUUGAGUGUGGGCACGGGGGAGGGCACAGAGUUCGUGCUUCAGAUACAAAGCAAGUGUUCCUCCACGUGCCUGACCACGUCUCAGCUCUUUGCUAGCAGAGCCAAGACCCUCAUCUUCUAAUGACCAACAUUCUUCUUUUUUUUUUUUUUCCCAAGGGAGUGAAAACCUGUAGGAAAAAGAACAAACGAAAAAGUCACAGAGCUGUGACUGCAGUAAUAACAUCUGGUGAGAUAAAAGGCAAGUAGCAAGUGGUGGUGCAAGCCUGCUGUCAUAGUAUUUGGAAACUAAAGGCAGGGGGGGGGAUUAAAAAGAAUUCAAGGCCAGCCUGGGAUACAUAGCAAGAUCCUUUCUUCUUUUUUUUUUUUUAAGAAAAGUAAUUUAUUUAUUUUAUUUUAUUUCAUUUUUUUACAUAAUCUUGAAUCUCACAGAUAAGAAUUCAGGAUUAACUUUAGUCAAGACCACUCUGAUGCCAGCUUACCAAAGCUACUGGCCAACAUCGUGGUGGUGGUGGUGGGGGAGUCUCCCAGUGAUUUUACUGCUCCACAUGGAGAGGUACAGCUUUGUCCUCAACAGUCAUAUUAGGUGUUUCUAAGAAAGACAAUGAAGUUCAUGGAGGAAGUAUGGGGGGUUGGGGGGGCAGGUUAGUAUUUUGUUUGAGACAGGUCUCACUAUGUUGCUCUGUCUGGCCUGGAACUCACUGUGUAGACCAAGCAUCCUGAGUGCUGAUACAAACGGCGUGCGCCUCCACAAUGAGCAGAAGUGUGCAUCAAGUGAGCAACAAAAGACAUGAGGACUGGAAGCCGCCUUGAAGGCUGCUCUGACUGCAUUGUUAGUGGCUGUCCCUAGACAAGUGCAAGCCCCUGGGACUGUGGGAAAGACUGUAACAGGAUAUUGAUAUUUAUUGAGUGUUGGAAAGCAAUGUAACAGUUGAAGCGAGGUCUCCUCUGGCCCUCUGUGGACCUCCACGAACGAUGACUUUCAUGGCUAGCUGAAGACAGGUCUAUGUGACUCCAUGACACAUGGUGUCUAUGUGACUCCAGCUCUCCUCCUUGCCUCCUAAGUCGCUGAACUAGCACAUUGAACCCAAAGCUCCAUGGUUGUUUAGGCCGGAGCUGCGACUUUAUGGCGGAGACUUUGCAUUCACAGAGUUCUGGGUUCAGUUUCCAGCGCUGAGAACAUCCUGCUUUGUGCUGUGAAGAAACAUCACAAUUAAAGCAAAGUGCGUGAAAGACAAUCGUUAUACACAGACUUAUUAAGCUCCCACCAGGGUAAAGAAACAGGUUUUUACCAGCAUCCCAGGAGCCUCCAGUAUACCUUCCCAAACAUCCUCUGCCUCUUAGAAAUAACCAUUGCAUUGAUGGUAAUUAUGACACUGGUUUCUAAUAGCUCUAUAAAAUUGGAAAAAAAUUAUUCCAUUUUUCAAAAAUUAUGAUUGAAAUUCAAUUUUAUAUAUAUGUUGAAUUUUUAGAGGGUCACAUGACUUCUGGUUUAAAUUUAUUAAUGUGAUGAAGUAUCUUUGCAUUACUAGUGUAAGAUAAGCCUAGUUGUAUUCAUUUCUUGUGGCUGAUGUAAUAAAUUUAAAACAAC
This 1852-nucleotide long non-coding RNA is filed under the name Mus caroli (Ryukyu mouse). RNAcentral's name for it is "lncRNA (MGP_CAROLIEiJ_G0005236.1)". Lineage: Eukaryota; Metazoa; Chordata; Mammalia; Rodentia; Muridae. The record is from RNAcentral.